GAUGAACGCUGGCGGCGUGCCUAAUACAUGCAAGUCGAGCGAACGGACGAGAAGCUUGCUUUUCUGAUGUUAGCGGCGGACGGGAGAGUAACACGUGGAUAACCUACCUAUAAGACUGGGAUAACUUCGGGAAACCGGAGCUAAUACCGGAUAAUAUUUUGAACCGCAUGGUUCAAAAGUGAAAGACGGUCUUGCUGUCACUUAUAGAUGGAUCCGCGCUGCAUUAGCUAGUUGGUAAGGUAACGGCUUACCAAGGCAACGAUGCAUAGCCGACCUGAGAGGGUGAUCGGCCACACUGUAACUGAGACACGGUCCAGACUCCUACGGUAGGCAGCAGUAGGGAAUCUUCCGCGAUGGGCGAAAGCCUGACGGAGCAACGCCGCGGGAGUGAUGAAGGUGUUCGGAUCGUAAAACUCUGUUAUUAGGGAAGAACAUAUGUGUAAGUAACUGUGCACAUCUUGACGGUACCGAAUCAGAAAGCCACGGCUAACUACGUG
Molecule: ribosomal RNA, 497 nt
Filed under: uncultured bacterium
Lineage: Bacteria
Description: partial 16S ribosomal RNA
Rfam family: Bacterial small subunit ribosomal RNA
Source: RNAcentral